Molecule: RNA transcript, 3788 nt
Organism: Dermochelys coriacea (leatherback sea turtle)
Lineage: Eukaryota; Metazoa; Chordata; Testudines; Dermochelyidae
Gene: FGF6
Gene name: fibroblast growth factor 6
Exons: 3
Source: RefSeq, a predicted model, not a curated record
GUUCUCUAGCUUGUUGCAGGGGCCUGUUCAGCCACAGACUGUCUCCAGAACUGGGGACGGGACAGAAAGGUGGUGGAAAGCCAUCUAUGUCUCAUCCCCCUCUCCAACAAGUGCACCGAGUGCUGCUCCGCAACACCUGAGGAUUUGGCCCACAGCCUCUGUAUUUUUACCCUUGUAUAAAAUAGGGAGAACAACCACCAUGAGCAAAAUCCAAAUCAUACUUUAAGAUCCCAUGGGCACAUGGAGCUUGGUAAGGAAAUAUCAUUCUCUGCAUUUUAGAAACAAGAAAACGGAGGCUCAGAGAUGUUCAGUGACGUACCUGGGAGUCGCAGUAAAUCCACCCCCACAAAUGGAAGUUGCCUUACAGACACAGGUCUGCUAUUUGCACUCAGGUGAUUCAGGGUGAGGUACCUUGGGUUUGUUAGGUGCUUAAAGAAAUACAAACACAGCCAUUUAUUACCUAUUCUCCCCAAACAUUGCCUUGAUCUGCCUGAGCUAUCCUAUUGUAAAUUCAGUGAAUGUCCUGUGGAGGAAGUGGCUGGCAAGGUUUCUAUUACUCCCUAGUCCACAACUGUUUUUGCACCUUCUUCUCUAAAUAAGGAAGCCUGCAAGAUAUCUGACUAUCCAACUAAUUUGUCCUCUUUGCAUUCAGCAACCCCUGCCGACCAUCCAAUGAAACUUCAUUCCUGCCUCAUAUAUUGGAUGACAGCAUUCGUCCAACCUCAGCCAGCCCGGGAGAAGAGAGUAGGUUAGUGUUACAGACAUGGUGAGUUUACCUUUGGCGAACUGUUGAUGUCACAGUGAUGCUGCAGGGUGGGACGGCCUCCAAACUAUAAAGAUAGGUCAAUCCAGUAUAUUGAGGCUGCCCACCAGACAGCAGGAGCUACAAAACAUGGUCCCCACCAGUGAGAGUUCUGCUGGCCUGUCUCUGUUCUCAACCCAACUGCUCUCAGGCUUUAGUUUCAUGUCAGCAAUCUUCAUCCGCCUUCCAAAAAUAAGCCUGUGCCACCAUGCGGAAGGGAGAAAAACAAGAAGGGCGGUAUUUUUAGGGCCAUUAAUUCUGACCACGUGCCCGAGAGGUGAACCGGAUGGCCAUUGCACAAAGACUUCUCAUCACUAUGUCCUGUGAAGCCAGCGUUCACUGGACAUUGCCUGCUUUUGUUCUCUUGGGUUUUCUGGCUGGGAUUGUUUCAUCGUAUCCAGUUGUAAGCAGAACUAAUGGCACAUUGCUGGAGAGAGGAUGGGAAUCUCUGUUGUCCAGGUCCAUUGCUGGGAUGUCAGGAGAGAAAUCAGAUGUGAACUGGGAGAGUGACUAUUUGCUAGGAAUCAAGAGGCAGCGGAGGCUUUACUGCAAUGUGGGCAUCGGGUUUCACCUUCAAAUCCUCCCAGAUGGAAGGAUAAGCGGUGUUCAUAAUGAAAACCAAUACAGUGAGUUGCAUCCAGAAAUGAAAUAGAAUAGAUAUCACUUAAUUGCAGUGAUCUCUAGUAAUUACCCUGCAUAGGACACAAAUGUUACUGCUUGAUAUUCUUAGUCUAAACUACAUCUGUUGCCUUUUAAAAGUCUCCAGGAUCAAUCAGCACUAGAAAUCUCCAGGCUGAAACAUGUCAUGAAUGCUUGGACAAAAUUAGAUACCAACUUAUUUUUACUCUGCUUUACUUUACAGAGUAGAAAAGACUAACCAGUUUGCAAACUUUUUUUCUGAUGCAUUUUUUCACUCAUGCACUUUUGUUCAGUAUUUGAAUCUUGAGGUUUUCAAUUCACUCAGCAUAUUAGCAUUACUUCUGAAUAGCAGUUUACUAGCAGUUUAAGGACGUGAAGGAUUUGAAAGGGCACAACUAAUCCACAUUUAUUAGCAUUGCCAUUGUUUUUAAUCUGCAAGAUUAAAAGAAAUGUAUUUUUAACUAUUUAUUUGAAUUUCUUGUAAAGUGCAAUUUACAAAACCAUUUGCAACUAAAAGGUUAUGGUGAGCUUCAUGUCACAACCCCCAUAAUUCUUGUGGCAAGAAUGACAGUAUUGAAUAGUGGCUAUGAUUAACUAAUUAGGAAUUAUUCCCAAAUUCUAUAGGACUUUCUAGUUUAACAGGGAUGAAACCAACAGGAUUCUAUAGCAAGUGAAUAGGAUUUUAUAAAUGUUAUUCUAAAAACCUACAGAAUUUAAUAAAGAAUGUGAUACCAUGUAUAUUUUUGGAAUUCUAUAGUAGGGAUAAUAGGAAGAUUCUAAAUUCUGUAGGACAUUCUCAUAAGGGUUUUAAUAAUUAUAUUGUUAAUUUCCUUUGACUGAGCAUUAUAAGAAUAAACUUUUUUCUGUUUAUUUAGGUCUUUUAGAAAUAUCAACUGUGGAGCGAGGUGUUGUUAGCCUGUUUGGAAUGAAAAGUGCUCUCUUUGUAGCAAUGAACAACAAAGGGAGGUUAUAUGGAACGGCAAUUUUUCAAGAUGAAUGCAAAUUCAAAGAAACUCUGCUGCCCAAUAACUACAAUGCAUAUGAAUCUAGUGCUUACCAAGGGGCUUACAUAGCGCUCAGCAAACAUGGGAGAGUGAAAAAAGGAAACAAAGUCUCUCCUGCAAUGACAGUGACACAUUUUUUGCCUAGAAUAUGAAAACAAAUACAACAUAUUAAACCACAGGAAAAAAAAAUCUAUUUCAUUUUGCACAUGUGAAUAAUCUCCCAGGUGAUGCCGCAGCAUGGUGGGGUUGCAUACCCAUUGGAUAAGCAGGCAUUUGGAGAGAUGCUUUGACGGUGAUCCUUCUCUAAUAUGUGGUUAUGUUCAUAAAAAGUGACUGUCAAAUGGCACAUGUUUACUCCACGUGUCCUCAACUCAUGGCGUUUUACAUUACAGCCAAAGCCAAGUUUCACUGUUGUUAGCCCUGCAGAAGCAAAACAGCUGCAGGAGAGUGGCCCUGAUUUUGUUCUGCCUCAUGCAUCGCUCGCAAAGUUGUCAGCUGAAUUCCAACAACAGACUCCUCCUACUUCACCAUGAGUAAUGAGUCAGAAAGUACAGUUUGCAGAUCUCCGGGUGAGAUUGCAGAGCUGGCAAUUAGAAAAACCACCUUUAAUUUAUACAUGCUUUACAGAGAAGUUACUGAGAGAAUUUGGAUACAAUCUUACAAACCCUGACUCGCACGAGCAGGUCUUUACUGAGGUCAGCUACUCCCCUGAGUAAAAAAUUUAGGGGAAUGAAGGUUUUUGCAAUAUGGGGCAAAAUAUGGAACCUCUUUGUCAUUAUCAGAGCAUAUUCACUCAUCGGUGCCCAUUAGCAAGUUAUUCUGAACCACAUUACUUGCUCAAAAAGUGUCAACCUGUCAAAAAUACCACAUGCAUGCUAAUUAUUGGCCUAUGUAGCUCUUUCUUUGUACAUAGGUAACAAAUCCAUAGGAGAAUCCCAUUACAAGGAUUGUUUUUUUCGUAGGCAAACCCCAUAACAACUAAUGACCUGAUCCAACUCCCACACAUGUCAGGGUCUCUCUCUCAGAGCUAGAUCAGGACUUUAAUUAUGUAAAUAAGCUGCCCCACACACAUGCCAGGAAAGCAGAGCCAUCUUUGUAUACCUCAUUAACUAUUUCAAUUCCAAUAUUCUAUUUUGCACAAUAAAAUGGUGCCAAAGUUCUAGCAUUGUUUUCUUGCCACCAAGAUAUACCUCAUCUUCUGACUCAGUGUGGACUUACAAAUAAGAUUGUAAAUUUGUAGGAAACAAAAAACUGUCCAAUCGUUUAUAAAAUGUAUUUGCUUCUAUUUUUAUACACAUGUGCUGUGCACAACUGUUUAAUGUAUUCAUAAAAUAAAUUCUUUU